CAACUGUUGUCGGGGAACACCCAUAUGGAGAGCAUCCGUCAAGGACAUUAUUCGUUCGAAAUAUUAACAGCAACGUAGAGGACUCAGAGUUGAAAUCUCUCUUUGAAGUAAUGCUUAACUUACCAGUCUCUUUAAAUUUGCCUCUGUUAAUUAGCGUCUCUUUGAAGUAAUGCUUAUCUUACCAGUCUCUUUAAAUUUGCCUCUGUUAAUUAGCUAACCCUUUUCCGCACUUCCUGUAUUGCAGUUGAAGUGCUUGUUUCUCAUUUUGUUUGUGCAAGCGAUACUUUCAUUCGGACGACUUCAUAUGCUUGAACAUUGUUCCCAUAUAUAAUUCUCCCUUCGUUGCAAAAAGAAUGAACCUAUUACAAAUUGGGAGUCAAACAAAGUUUUCUUUGACCACGUUUUUUUGCAAAUAGUUUUAAUAUAUUUUGAAUUAUUAGCUACUGUGACUUAUAGUAGUUUUAUGUUUCUAACUAUGUAAAUUUUAUUUAAAAAAACUUAAAAGAAUCUGUCCAAGUUCGCACUGAAAAUUAGUUAAUUUGACCUCAUACUCCGAAAAGGUUCAAACAAAUUGAAACGAAGGGAGUGUAUCAAAUUGAAGCAAAUUUGAUGUGCUACUUUAGCUUCUCUAUGACAUUCAUCCGAUGUUUCCAUUUGUAAAGCUUGUUCCCUGUGUUCUUUUUCCGUGUCCCACUGCUUAAUAUUUUGUCUUAUUUAUUUCAAAGAGGGUUUGCACUUCAUUCGUCACUAGAGUCCUUGAUCUAUAUUGAUUCUGAUAGGAG
This 782-nucleotide long non-coding RNA is filed under the name Nicotiana benthamiana. RNAcentral describes it as "long non-coding RNA (NBEN_LNC028547)". The record is from RNAcentral. Lineage: Eukaryota; Viridiplantae; Streptophyta; Magnoliopsida; Solanales; Solanaceae.